This is a long non-coding RNA of Solea senegalensis (Senegalese sole), 133 nucleotides long. RefSeq lists it as uncharacterized. Lineage: Eukaryota; Metazoa; Chordata; Actinopteri; Pleuronectiformes; Soleidae. The record is from RefSeq and is a predicted model, not a curated record. The transcript is spliced from 3 exons.
CAAAAAUGCCAUGUUGGAAUUAUUCCCGGACCUGUGUUGCUCAAGGGCUCUGUAGCGCCACCUAAGGAGUCAAAGAAAGACUGGUGGCCACAGAGCAGGAGCUGAAGCUCAUGAGAGACGUGCCUAAGGUGGC